AGUGCUAUUCAGUCAGAAGUUGCCAAAAAUCAGAUGCUUAUUGAAGAAGAAGUACAGAAAUUAAAAAGAUACAAGAUUGAGAAUAUCAGAAGGAAGCAUAAUUAUCUGCCUUUCAUUAUGGAAUUGUUAAAGACUUUAGCAGAACACCAGCAGUUAAUACCACUAGUAGAAAAGGCAAAAGAAAAACAGAACGCAAAGAAAGCUCAGGAAACCAAAUGAAGAUGUUUUCAGAUAUGUACACAUUUCUGCUUCUGCACAUAUUUUCAUGGAAACCAUUAUGUAUAAAGAACUUAGAGCAACAUCCUAAUUGGCUCAGUGCACGUUUGGCAAUAGUGCCAGCCUGUCUUGUCUUUAAUGCAUGGAUUCAUAAACUUCUUCCCUACCUGCAUCAUGUGCAUGUAGUGCAUAUUAAAUGAAAGUGAUAUUAAGAAUGCUUUCCCAAAUUCCAUUAUUUGACAUUGAGUCUGACAACUGUUAGUUUUCUGGUUGUCUAACUACCAUAUGAAGCUAGAAAAUGCACAAACGAUAUUCCUUAUCUGUAAUUUAAAUACUUAAAAUUUGCAAUUGUCAGAUCUUGAUUAAACUGGUUGUCUUAUUUCUUCUCAUCAUUAACGGAAAAAAAAUCAGUAUUUCUAUCUUUGAUAUCUAAGUGUUUUGAGGAUUUUAAAACUGAAUUUUAUCUGCUAUACCAGUUAUUUGAGAAAGUAUGAUUUUAAUGUAAAUCAUUUAAAAAGGACAAAAGUAUAAUUUCCAGUGAUUUUCACUGCUGUCAGUAGAAAAGUAAUAAA
Molecule: long non-coding RNA, 788 nt
Filed under: Homo sapiens (human)
Lineage: Eukaryota; Metazoa; Chordata; Mammalia; Primates; Hominidae
Description: long non-coding RNA NONHSAT152690.1
Source: RNAcentral